RNAcentral lists this ribosomal RNA (458 nucleotides) under Ameerega bassleri (pleasing poison frog). RNAcentral describes it as "partial 16S ribosomal RNA". It matches the Rfam family "Bacterial large subunit ribosomal RNA", at positions 1945 to 2554 of the family's 2925-position model. The record is from RNAcentral. Lineage: Eukaryota; Metazoa; Chordata; Amphibia; Anura; Dendrobatidae.
ACCGUGCGAAGGUAGCGUAAUCACUUGUUCUUUAAAUGAGGACUAGUAUGAAUGGCCCCACGAGGGCUGCACUGUCUCCUUUUUCUAAUCAAUGAAACUAAUCUCCCCGUGAAGAAGCGGGGAUAAUUCUAUAAGACGAGAAGACCCUAUGGAGCUUUAAACAACUGAAACACUUGCUUUUUCCAUUAACCUCUUCCGAGUUCUUUACUUCACUCAAGCAUUUUUAUUUCUAGUUUUAGGUUGGGGUGACCACGGAGCAAAACUAAACCUCCACGAAGAAAUGAAUACUUUUUAAGCCACAAACUACUUUUUUAAGCAUCAACAAAUUGACCUUCAUUGACCCAAUAUAUUGAUCAACGAACCAAGUUACCCUAGGGAUAACAGCGCAAUCUACUUCAAGAGCUCGUAUCGACAAGUAGGUUUACGACCUCGAUGUUGGAUCAGGGUAUCCUAGUGGG